GACGAACGCUGGCGGCGUGCUUAACACAUGCAAGUCGAACGGAAAGGCCCUGCUUUUGUGGGGUGCUCGAGUGGCGAACGAGUGAGUAACACGUGAGUAACCUGCCCUUGACUUUGGGAUAACUUCAGGAAACUGGGGCUAAUACCGGAUAGGAGCUCCUGCUGCAUGGUGGGGGUUGGAAAGUUUCGGCGGUUGGGGAUGGACUCGCGGCUUAUCAGCUUGUUGGUGGGGUAGUGGCUUACAAGGCUUUGACGGGUAGCCGGCCUGAGAGGGUGACCGGCCACAUUGGGACUGAGAUACGGCCCAGACUCCUACGGGAGGCAGCAGUGGGGAAUAUUGCACAAUGGGCGGAAGCCUGAUGCAGCAACGCCGCGUGCGGGAUGACGGCCUUCGGGUUGUAAACCGCUUUCGCCUGUGACGAAGCGUGAGUGACGGUAAUGGGUAAAGAAGCACCGGCUAACUACGUG
Molecule: ribosomal RNA, 467 nt
Filed under: uncultured bacterium
Lineage: Bacteria
Description: partial 16S ribosomal RNA
Rfam family: Bacterial small subunit ribosomal RNA
Source: RNAcentral